Molecule: long non-coding RNA, 1014 nt
Filed under: Coturnix japonica (Japanese quail)
Lineage: Eukaryota; Metazoa; Chordata; Aves; Galliformes; Phasianidae
Description: lncRNA (ENSCJPG00005017584.1)
Source: RNAcentral
GGAAACAAAACACUGACGGGGCGAGCGGGCAGCGAGCGGUGGAAAAAAACCAAACCCGCGGCACAGUUAUCCGCGACCAAGCGAGCACACCCGCAGCGCCCUCGCCUUCACAGCACCCGCCGCAGCUGGGCCCGAGCGCCCGGAGCGGGCAGGUGCACGGGGCGCACGGGGCGGCGGCUUUGUCCCCGGGAGCCGUGCCCGCCGCCGCGCUUUGUUCGCCGCCCGCCCGGGCACAACGCGCCGCAUCCCCGCCCGGUCCCGCCGCCAUCCCGCUCGGCCCGGCCCGGCCCCGAGCCCGGGGGCACACAGCCCUCCCCUCCCGGAGCCCCCUCCCCGCGGCCCGCCCGGCCUCGGCGCGCAGACACGCGGACGGACCGACCGACGUUCGAGCGGCCGCGGGGAGCGCCGCGCCCACCGCCCACCACCCGCCGUCGGCCCUCGGUCCCGCCGCCGCCCCGGGGCCGCUCCCACCGCCCCUUCCCCCCGCACCGGGCUAAAAUUAGACUAAAAUGGCCGCCGGAGGCCGCGGGGUCUGAGCGAGCCGCGCCGGGCCCGCUCGGCCUCUGGGCUCCGGAGCCGCCUCCCCGCUCGGCCGCGGCGCGCCGCCCUUACCAUGGCGCCGGGUCCGGGGCGGCGGCGGCUGCCUGCGGUGCGGGGCUGUGCGCGCAGGAGAGCGCUGCGCUGCGCUGCGCUGGGGGCGAGGCGGGCGGGGACUCGGGCCGGGCGGGGGAUGAGCCGCGGCGGCCGGGGAGGGCCGGUCACAUGGGCAGCGCCGCCACCACGUGCCACCGGCCCGGCCCGGCCCGCCCCGCCCGGCAAUCCGCGCCCGCAGCCGGGGCUCGCGGGGCCGCCCCCCGCGGGGAAGGGCCUGGAGGCGGCGGCAGGAAGCCGGGCUUCCUCUCAUGGCCCGCUCGCCCGGGCCGCCGUUUACUUGUGCGCCCUGUCCGCAGCCCCACGCGGUGUCUGACCGGCCCCCUGUGCUGGCGAGGUGCGGCCGAGCGGGCGGCCCGGUGA